ACCUUCCAAGUCUCCUGGGGUUUGCCAAAGCUUUUUCUUAUCUUCCAUGGCUAGGUUGAAGAAGUCUUGAAUUUCUAUCUUUACUUUGUCCAUCAAGGAAGAGCUCACACCAUGGUUUACCAACUGUAACAUAUAUACAUAAUGUCUUAAUGUUGGCCAUGAUUACUUUCUUAAUGCCCUAGUUAGUAUCAAGUAAAAAUACUUGUAUAAUGACAUGAUUAAUUGCCUAAACCUGAAUUCUUGAACUCCUUUUCAUUUAUUUAACAACCGUUGUUUUUUGAAUUUAAACUUAGGACCACGUCUAACAAGGUAAAGAUUUCAAAAAAAAUCCACGAGCAAAUUAACAUAUAUUUAUAGGGACACACUUUUUCUUCUACGCUACUAAUACUUGUACUUGCUCUAUCAAUUCUAACCCAACAUUACCUGCCAAUAACUUCCCAUUGAUGCUAAAUUGUGAUUUAAUUUUCUCAUUAAUUCCUCAAGACAGACAAACGAGUGAAAAAAGUUGUGUACCUG
Molecule: long non-coding RNA, 516 nt
Filed under: Prunus persica (peach)
Lineage: Eukaryota; Viridiplantae; Streptophyta; Magnoliopsida; Rosales; Rosaceae
Description: long non-coding RNA (PPER_LNC004114)
Source: RNAcentral